UUUUUCAAAAUAGCAAAAAAUAAAUAAAUAAAUUAAUACUCAAAUUAACCUGACCCAAAGACUUCAUAGCUCAAUGGACUUCUAUAUACUUAGAGUAGCCAUUCAAAAUAGAAGCUAGGGAACGUCACAUUUUAUAGUUCACUAUUAAAUAUUUUUGUGCACGUAUCCACCAUCAAAACAAACAAAAUCCCACAGGUGAGAGCUGAGAGCACCAGCAGCUUUCUGCCCUUUUGAAUGUCCCUGCCUGUACUCAGUCAGGCCUGGUCCUCUAAGACUUAGCCUUUCGUGUUCUCUUUCCUUCAUGUUAUAGCACACCAUACGCACAUCUGCUUACAUAUAUGGAUUCGUUAAUGGGUACAUUCCAUACGAGGGAAAACAUGUAUGUUUCUUUCUCUCUCUCUUUCUUUCUCUUUCUUUCUUUCUCUCUCUUUCUUUCUUCCUUUCUCUCUUUCUUUCUUUCUUUCUUUCUUUCUUUCUUUCUUUCUUUCUUUCUUUCUGAAAUUCUGUGGCUUUGCUUAAUAUACAUCCUAAGUCCACCACUUUCCUAAAGAUUUUGUGAUUUCAGUUUUCUUCAGAGAUGAGUAUGUGCACACACACCUCUCAAUUAUAGCAUAUACAUCCAUAUACACCAUAUACCAUAUGUCCAUCAUCUGCUGAUGGACAACUAGGCUGACUCCAGGUCUGCUGCUAUAGCAGAUGAAGUAGCAGCAGACCAAGGGCCGCUAGAAGACAGCAGAGCUCUUGGGUACAUUCCCAGGGGUGAGGGAGAGAGCUGGGUCCUAACUGGUACCCACAAUGCACUCCUACUAACAGAAAAUAUGGGUUCUUUUUUUCCCACAUCCAAUAUUGGCUGUGAGAUUUAUUACAAUAACCAUUCUGACUAGGGUGAAGUGGUAUCUCAUAGUAGUUUUAACUUACAUUCCCCUGAUGGCUAAGAAUACUGAAGACAUUUUAAAACAACUAUUGGCCAUUUGUGUCCCUUUCUUCUUGUUUUGUAAAUGUUUACUCAGUUCACUUCCCAUUGUUGAUUGGCAGGUUUGUUUCAUGGCUACCUAACCGCUACAACUCUUUGCAUCCUGAGUAUUAAUAUUGACCCCUUGUCUGAAGUGUAGAUGGAAAAGAUCUCUUCCCAUUCAGUUUGUUUCAUUGUUAUUAUCUGGGAAGGAGACUCUCAAGAUUCUUGAGAGGCCAUAAAAUUGGCCUCCAGGCAAGUCUGUUGGGCAUUUCCUUGAUGAAUGACUGAUAGAGGAGGACUGGCCCUCCCUGUGGGGGUGCUUCCCCUGGCAAGUGGUGCUAAGUCAGAUAAGAAAACCCGCUGAACAAGCAGUGAGGACCAAGCCAUAGCAGCACUCCUCCAUGGCGUCUGCCUUCGUUUCUGUGCCCAGUUCCUGCCCUGGCUUCCCUCAAGAUCAACGGUGACAUGGAAGUGCAGGCUCGAUAUCCUUUCCUCCCCAAGUUGUUCUAGUCAUGGUGUUUUAUCACAACAACAGAAAUCCUAAGACAAAUAUCCUCUAUGGUUUUUUUUCCUAGAAGAUGUAGAUUUUAAAUUAAGAGUUUUGAUCCAUUUUAAAUGGAGUUUUGUAAAAAGUGAAAGAAUAUUUCAUUCUUCUGCAGGCUGUCUUUUCAGCUAUAGCCAUCUACGUAGAUGCAGACGCAGAUGCAGAAGAAUAUUAAACUUUUAAGGUAAAGUAUAGUAAUGUCUACACCUAGUAGGGCUUUGGUUAUUCAAGGUCUUUCGUGGUUCCAAAUGAAUUCCUGUAUUGUUUUUAUCUAAACUUGUAAAAAAUGUCACUGGAAUUUAGAUGGGCAUUGCGCUAAUUAGUUGGCAGUACAGCCAUUUUCACAGUAUUGAUUCUGCCAAUCCAAGAACAUGUAAUGUCUUUCUAUAAUCUAGUAUCUUGUAUGAUUUUCUUUUUUACAGUGGCUUGAAUUUUUCAUUGUAGAAGCCUUUCACUUCUUUGGUUACAUAUGUUCAUAAAUAUCUUAUCUUGGGAAGUUAUUUUGAAUGGAAUUUUUUUUCUAAUUUUUUUCUCUAAAAGUAUGCUGUUGGUAUAAAUGAAGGCCUGUUUUUUUAAACACUGACUUUGUAUCCUGCAUCUUUUUACUGUUCAGUAUUUCAUUUAAACAUCAAUUUCCUAAAAAGUAGUUCUUUUCUACUGAGUUGCCUUUUAUCUUGACAUCAGUAUGAUUUCUAUAGUAGUAAACUGAAAAGAAAUUUAACAGGAAAUGUUAGUGAAUGAGAACGUUUCUUUAAAUACUGGAGGUGAUACUACAUAAUAGAAUUAUUCUGCUAAGAAGCAGAAAAUGUAACCAAGCCACAUAAAUGACAAUGCAACAACUUUUCCUCCAGCCAACUAAAACUCUAAAAUGUAUGUUGACUGUUGCAGAUGACAACCAUAUGACUUGCUUUCACCCCUCCGGUUACAGUUACCCGGGGGAGCCCAUCCCUUUCACAGAGAAGUCCUCCCACAGAAAUGCAAACUGUCAGCUUCCUUUAGGCCAGGGAUUCUUCAAGUUACAAUUUAAGUUGAAACUUAACCAUAAUUAAUUUGUAUGACUUUAUUUUUAUCAGUAACCAUACUUCUAUUUACUGACUUCCGUUUACAAGACAUUACAGUAGCUCUUGGCGCUUCCCUACCCUGAGAAAUUGAACACAUCUUUUCACUUCAUUAAUGAUUGAAAGCUGAUUUAAUGCAAUUAUCUUAAGCUCAAUGGUAUCAAUAAUAAAAAUGAGAUGUUUCUAAAGUGUUUUCUUAAUAAAGUCUGAAAGACUAGACAAGAAAUGUGAAUCAAUCCAUUGCAUUUGAGUGACCUGUUACUCUUACAGAAAUGAGCAACCAAAUAAUGUAACUUCUAUGGCUCUGUACAUACCCUGAAAGUAAUUUGUAGGAUAUUUAAUUGCAAAAGAGAAAAAUCAAUUGUUCUGACAUUAUUUAUGCAAUGUAAUUAUUGAAAGUUACUGUAAACUAUUGUUUCAGUGAGCUUUCAGUCUCAAAUAUUUUAUUCAAGAAAAUAAAAAUAUGUAAAAACCACUGAAAACCAAUUAUUAUGCAUUUGUGACUUCCUAGUGAUAUAUUAUUGUAUACCACAAAACAUCUGACCUACCUAAAGUCAAUUCUAAACUAUGUAUUCUCUGAGGCUUUCUUUAAUAUUUUGAGUUCUAAAACUAGCAAUUGCAAAGCCAUAUAGGAUGUAUUCACUAAGAUAUACAGUGAUACACCAAAAGAAAGGUCUUGCUUCAUCUUAAAAUAAAUAAACACUAAAAUCAGCAAUAAUCAUCAUUGUGGAAAUGAUGACCACUGCUUCAGUAUGUAAUAAGAAUUUACUUAAAUUUUUAAAAAACUCAAUUAUUUUUACAUUAAGUUUUUUCUUGUUGAUAAAGGAUUCAAUACUAAGAAAAUUUAUUAUUUUAAACCAGACUGUAGUCCAAACACACACACACACACAUGCGCACAUGCAUGUAAUAUACAUCCACAAGCCAUAUAUGAUAACUCAUAAAAUCAGCUUGUAUAUGAAGUUAGUAAAUCAUAUUAUUAAGGUUAAAAUGUUCAAAUUGUAUACUGCUUCAUAACAAAAUAAUCUAUAAUCUUAAUUGCUAUCAAAUGGUCAGAUCAUUUUAAUUAUAAAACAAUGCAAACUUACAUAUGUAUAUAUGAAUGUACGUAUGUAUGUGGCCAGUACUCUACCAGAAUUGAAAUGCAAAGAUCUGUCAACUGAAAUGUGAAAAGAUAAUAGAAAUGCCAAUUAAAACAUUAAGUUCAUUUUAAGCACUUGAUUGUUUUUAAAACAUUGACUCUUACUAAAAUCUUUUCCUAACUUAUUAGAUAUGCAAGGUCAUUUUAAUACCAGAUAGAAACAUAUUACUAGCACUUUAACAUGCUUUUUCCAAUAAAUAUCAAUGGCAAGGAUAGAGAAAUCUAAGACACUUAAAUAGCCAUUUUUCAAAUUACUGGUGGGUUUGGUGAAUUAAUUUCACAUGACAUGAAUUCAUUCUUAAAUAUGAUUUUUAGAAGUCUGCUUUAGAUUGCAAGUUAUGUUAAAUGACGUAAGGCACACAUUUGGAAGGCGAGCACACUUUCUCUUAGGAAGGACUGAAGCUCCAUCUAGAGGCCCUGCUCCUGCCACUGUCACUUGCAGUGUAAGUGUCUCACCUAGAAAGGGGAAGAGUAGGGAAAUGUCAGGGAUCUCCUCCGCACAGGCCUUUUGUUAUUCAUAAUGAGUUCCUCCUGACCCCCGCAGGGAGCCUCUAGCUCCAUCACUGCCAUCAAGUGGCACAAAACUAAAACUGAGCCUAAGACAGGAAAGCAGUGUAGUCUGAUCACCUGCGCACUGUGUAAGUUAUCUUUCUCCCACGGCAUUUACUAUGUCAAUUCUAGGGAAAGCACAGUCAUGCUGUUUUCUCAAAAAUAUCAUUUUUCUUUUUUCUUGCCUUUUCUUCUUUUUUUGUUGUAUUUUGUUUUGUUGUUUUUCAGCACAGGGGUUCUCUGUGUAGCCCUGCUGUCCUGCAUCUCAUUCUACAGACCAAACUGUCCUCAGACUCAGAGAUCCACCUGCCUCUGCCUCCUGAGCCCCAGGGAUGAAGGCUGUGCCACCAGGCCCAGUUUGCACCUGGUCUUUCUAGCUGAAGCUGGAGCUGAAGAUUUUUAAGUUUGCCAAUGUAUAAUGAAAAAAAAUACUUUGAACAAAAUGUAUGUACAGAAUUUCAUGGAUUACUUCCCUGACAGGGAUAAUAGGGAGAAAAUGAGGAAUUGUUUAAGACUAGUAACUGUACGCAAGAGCAGUGAGUAAGAGGGCAGAUGUCUUCUAUCCACUAUGCAAAUAAGCCUGGGGUUUAAUAAAGGGGAUCCUGUCCCGUUUUAUAAAUCAUAUCCUUGGAUUGUAGUUUCAACAACGUUUCCCCAAAAUGUUAUCAACAGUCUGAAUGAAAAAUUUCCUGAGAAGGAAAUAACAAGAAACAGCAAGAAGUUCAAAUAAAAUGAAAAUCUCCUUUUUCUUAAUUAAGUAAUGGGAGCUAGGGCUUUACUGAACCCAGGAAAAAGAGAUGUGAAAUAAUGAAGUACAAACUAUGAUAUAACUACAAAGAUUAUAUGAUAUAUGAAGGUAGAUUAAACUCAGUCUCAAAAUGUUUAGUAUCCCCCAAACUGCUAACACAUAUUUAAAGGUUAUUCUUUUUAAUUUAUAUACUUAUAGAAAGCUUUACAAUGUUCUAAUUUUAUUCUUUUAGGGAGAUUGUAAUACUUUCUGAGAAGCCUGAUUUUAAAUUUCAUAGAUACUGAAAACUCUAAUUUUGAUUAUAAGUAUAGAUUUACUAACUGAAUCAACAACUUAUCAAGAGCAGCGAACAUCUCUACUAUGGGGUAAGGUCUACUCCACGUUUCAUAUGUAGAAUUUCAAAGAAACCUCUCAACACUCUUCAAAACAAGCACAACUGCCAUCCCAUUGAUUCAAACUCUAAGCAAACAAAUAGAGCAGCCCUGAGGCAUACAGGGCUUUUGUAAUGACCUCAGCCAGAGUAAGCACUGGGGCUCUGGAAGGCAGCGUAGCAGUAAUGACUCUUACACAAGCCCGUUUUCCUCAUCUAUGCACUACUGACGUUUUGAAUAGAUACUUCUGUGUAGAAGUUGUUCUGUGUCCCGUAGGAUGUUUAGCAGCACUCAGUCUCUCCAAACAGAUGCCAAGAGUGAGGGCUCAAUGCCAGCUCUCCUUUCUUUCAGCUUGGGUAACAAAAAUGUCUCCAUACCAGUGUCUCCACCGUUAAAUGUCCCAGCUAGGGAAAAUAAGAUUCAUUAGUAGACAUGUAAUUUAUAGCCCUGAAGGUACACUGACGAACAAUGAAACUGUUUUCUAGUUGUAAGUUAGCUGCUGCAACUGCGUUGGUAUCUCUAUUAGGGUUGCAGCCAUCGUUUUUGGAUUCCAUGCUUUUUGUGUUAAGGGAGGUCUCUUCUACCAGCCUGCACUCCAGACCAACUGGGAGGAAAAAAAAAAACCUUAAAUUUUUAAAUUUAAAAAUGUGAAGUAUGGGGAGGGUGAUGUCUGUCCGGAAACCGGGAAAGGGAAUAACACUUGAAAUGUAUAUAAGAAAUACUCAAGAUAAUAAAAAAAUAAAAUAAAAUAAAAAAAAUGUGAAGUAUGUAGCUUUAAUCUUUUAUAACAAACACACAUAACAUUGGUUUGAGUGAUGUCUUGAAAUGCUAAUUUUAAGUGACCAAGGGUUUACUGUCACCCCCAUUUAAAAUAAACUGUCCUUUAGACCACAAAAAAAAAAUUAGUUGCUGCCUCACACAUUAUAAAUAUACAAAUGGUGUAGAAUGGUAAUAAUCUAAGAUUUAUAAUCUAAAACCACCAAAUGAGGAGCAAACGUGAUAGUGAGAGGAUUAUAUAGGAAAUAUGAAGACAGUCAGAAGUAGUUGUUUCUAGCAAAUAGAACUGAGGGACAAAAUAGAAAAAUAGAGGACUAUAGCCUUUUAAUUUACAUUUGUAUUACAUUAACUUCUUUUUCUGAGAUGGACUUAACUUGAGAUUCUUUUGCCCUAAAUACUGACACUACAAACAUAUUCCUUCAUAUCAGGUUUGUUUUUCUUUUUAAUGUUUUUUCAAUUGAUAAAAUUAUAUGUGUAUAUUGUGUGUACUUACACAAUGUAGGUGGGAUUUUGUUGUUGUUUGUUUGUUUGUUUGAGACAGGGUUGUCUCUGUGUAGACCUGGCUGUCCUGGAACUCACACUAUAGACCAGGCUGGCUUCCACAUCAUGAGAUAAGCCUGCCAAGUGCUGGGAUUUAAGGUAUGUGCUACCACACCCAAACUGCGGUUUAAAAUAUAUAUACGUUAUAGGAUUACUAAAUUGAACUAAUUAACCUAAAUACCUUAUCAUUUUUCUAUCCUUUGUGAUGAGAACACUUAUCAUGAACUAUCCUGCAUUCAAUUCUACAAUACACUAUUUUUGUUUAUUAAAAAUAGAAAGUUAGAAAGCUGUUCUUACUAUAGUCAUCUCUGUUGCAUUUACUUAUGUAAAUUGUUUCUCACCCAUUUCUCUGUUAGACUCAGCUCACAUGCUAACAAAGCAUAUGACAAAUUCAUGACUAAAAGACUGAUCCCAAUAAAACAAAAGUUGCUUAAACAGGAAUUGGAAAGCUGGCAACUUGAACAACAACUAAACACAAGAAGUACUGACUGUCAAGAAUGCUACUUAAAGAUCCAUAAAGGCGGGUAGACAUUCUUCUUGUCAAAUUAUUCUUAUGUAUUUUAAAAGUAAUUUGUCAUGUAUUUUGUCAUUUGUGACUAUAGCAAAAUUUCUUUUCAUACUAUUUUGAAUAGUUACUUUAUGAUUAUAUAUCCUUUAAGGCAAGUAGAAUAAUGAGAGCCUCUUUCUUAAUGGAACUUUGUUAUUAAUAUUCUCUUCAUCUUUCUUUUUUUGCUUUUACUACUGUGAACUAAGUUUUAUAUAUGUGUGUAUGUAUGUAUAAAUAUUGUAAUUUCUGCUUUUGCUCAAAAUUUUUCCAUUCAAGUGAUGUUUAUAUUCCACUAAAGUUAACUUAAUAAAAUUUAUUUAAAACAUCAUCUUUUAAAAACACACUCAUUUUGUACUCUAUCAACCUAGGAACUAAAUAUGUUUUAGAUAGUUAAGCUAUUAUCUUUCACUAGUAUUUUUACUUAUCUCUUUGCUGUUUUCUUUCAGUUAUUUAUAGUUUUUCAUAUUUUGCUUUCUAUUAGUUAUUCAAGUAAUAAUGAAGAAACAGGCACACCCUUCUUCAAAGCCCCACUACCAAAAAAGCAUCAGCUGGUAUAUACAAUCUAUGCUUCUAAAAACACACUUACUCUUAUGUAUGUGUACAUGCAGACAUGUUCUACUUUGCAGUACAGCAUCAUUAAGCAAAGUGCUUUCCUUGUAUGCAGGACUCAUAAUGCCUGUUCUAUCUCUUCAUUCAUUUGUGUAUUAGGUUUACUGCAAUAUUCAUCAUUUUAAUGUAAAAUGCUACUUAAUGACAAUUUUUAAAGACUUGGCUAUUACUAGAAACAUAGUUGAGAAUGUCUCCUGUAAAUCAUAUGUUAAUUUAGCAUAAAAUUAUGAAGAAAUAAAACAAAAACUACAAUGAGAUUUUAAAACUUAAAUAUUUCUUACAUGUAAAAAUACUAUGACUAAGGAUUUUUUUACUUUCUAAUGCAUUUAUAGAAAGCUUAGCUACUUCACAAAAGACAUUGCUUUUAUUUACUUAUUUAUUUAUGCAUGCAUGUGUGUGUGUACCUGUACGUGUGCAUGUGCGUGUGUAUGUGUGAUGCACUCCAGACCAUGCAUGUGGAAGCCUUGUAAGAUGACGAUCUGUGGGCCUCUGCCCAUCUUCUGUCCAUUUAAAAUAGAAAUUGUACAUUUCAAAAAGAUGUAUGGGUCAGCAAAAUGGCUUGCUGGCCACCAAGCCUAACAAGCAUCAUUCAACUCUGGGGCUCAUGUUGGGGAAGAAGAGUAGCAUCUCUAGUAAGUUAUCUUCUGACUUCCACAUGCUCACCAUGACAUGUGUCCUGCUCCUUUAAGUAAAUAAAUAAAAUGUAAUAAUAAAAAAAAUUAGUGUUUGUACAGAAUCCCUAUAAUCCAGUUCCAAAGUACUCCCUUCCAAAGUUCCAUAUCUUUCUAUGUAUAGAUUUGGACUCUCUGGGCAUGUCAGACAAUAGAAAGGAUGAGAUUUUCAGAUCUACUUAAGUAUUAGAUUUAAGAACAAAUAUCAUGUUUCACUUUUUUAGCAGUAUUUUCAUUUAUCAGCAUGCUUAGCUCACUUGGGAAAGGCAUAGCUAAAUUGCUUUUUCCUUUCCCUUCUUUCUUUUCACAAAGUUUUACUUGCAACACUGAGUAUAGGACACAUGGAGGACACCAAGGGCAGACCUUAGAAACACUUGAGAUAUUUCUCCUAAACACAGAGUGUACCUCAGCUUUGGUAACAACCCAUUUAACAUAUAUCCUCUAAACUUGGAAUUCUAUGUCUGAGUGAAAUUUCAUCCUCUAAAAAUUUUGGUGUCAUUCUUGACUCAUUUCGCUCUCAAUAUCUACAGCCAAUUCAUUAGUAAAUUCUACUGGCUCAUAUAUUAGCUGCUCAGAUGCUCAGGAGGGUUGAUGAGAUUCCUGUUGGGGAAGUGCUUGUCUAGGAUCAAUGAGAGAUGCUCUGUCCAAAAAAAAAAAAGCCAGAGAGAGCUAUAAGACCACACAUUGAUCUCUGGCCUUCACAUGUACAUGCACACACAUCUGUGAGUAGCACCCCCCCAACAAAUAUGUACAUGUAUGCAUGUAUAUAUGUACACAUACACACACAGCGUGGAGAAGGGGGAAAGAAGGGAGGGAAGAGAGGAUAUACUCAACAUGUGAACACUACCACGGAGCGUCAAACCAUCACUUCUUGCCUGAAUCACAGCAAAUCCUAAUUUAUUUCCCAACUAUAACCCUAGCUUGGCAUCUUCUCUAAUGGUUUAUUUCUGGCACAGAACUGGCACACACUAAAAUAAAAAACAGACGCAGUCAAAGUCUUUAAUUGAUAACUUGUAAGGCAGCUAUGCUCACCAGUAACCACUGAUGCAUAUUAAUUGGUAUCUUGGGAAUUACAAUUAAUAGUGUAAACUUAUCACAACCUAUUUCCUUACAAUAGCCUAGAUGAUCACUUAGAAAAUAACUUUAAAGAUACAGAGCAGGAAAGAAAAAGGGAAUCCAAACAGUAUACUAUAAAAAACAGCCAACUGAAGGGCAGGGUACAGCUCAUGGGCAAAGCACUCCCCAGCAUGAUACAUUGCUAGCCAUUGUUUUGCUAGUGAGACCAAAAAUUAAAUAGACACAAAAACUGGCUGUACUGGAGGAUUUAAUAAGGAACAAAAACUACACUAUUUAAAGAAAACAGUACCCCCCACCCCGGCAUAGUGGCACUUGCCUAUAAUCCCAGCACAGGGAAGGCUAAGGCAGGGUUCUGUGUUGAAUAUCUAAGGUCAUCCGCAUCUACAGAAAAAGAUUCUGUCAGAAAGAUAAGAUUUCGGUUUCAAAAGAAUACAAAUGACAGAAAUAUUUUUUAAAUGUUCAACAUCUUAGCCAUUAGGGAAAUGGAAAUCAAAACUACUUUGAGAUUUUUAUCUUACUCCGUUUCAUAAUGGCUGAGAUACAAACAAACAACAGCAAAACUCCAGGUGACAAUAAGUGCUGGAGGGUGUGGGGAAAGGGGACACUUAUUUAUUCACCGGCGGUGGGAAUGCAAGCUGGUGCAGCCACUGUGGGAAUCAGCGUGGAGGUUCCUGCAAACGCUGGCAAUAAGCCUGCCACGCGCUCCUGGACACAGAACCCAAGGACCCCACUCCACACCACAGCACGCUGCGAGGAUCGCGAGGGUCGCGGUUGCUCAUUCAUGCCCGCCGCGCUCUCACAACAGCCAGGAAAGGAACAACCAGCACGAUGGACACACUGGCUGGUCCUGUGUCAGCUUGACACGAGCUGGAGCUAUCACAGAGAAAGGAAAUGCCUCCAUGAGACCCAGCUGUGAGGUGUUUCCUCAAUUAGUGACCAGGGUGGUGGGGGAGGGCCCAUUGAGAGUGGGAUCUAUAAGAAGCCAAGCUGAGCAAGCCAGAGGAAGCUGUUCAGUCAGCAGCGCCCUCCAUGGCCUCUGCAUCAGCUCCUGCCUCCAGGUUCCUGCCCCGUGUGAGUUCCUGUCCUGUCCUUCGGUGAUGAACAGCAAUGUGGAAGUGGAAGUUGAAUAAACCCUUUCCUCCCCAGCUUGCUGCUUGAUGAUGUUUUGUGCAUCAAUAAAAACUCUAAGAAAAUGGGUAAUAAAAAUAUGGUAUAUUAUACCUGUUCUGCUGUAAAGAAAAGUGAAAUUUUCAAAUAUAUGGAUAAAGAUACAAAUAAUCAUUCUGAGUGAAAUAACUCAGAUCCAGAAGAACAAAUGUCAUACUUCUCUUUCAUAUUCAGAGGUUAACUUUGAGGUUUUAGAGACCUGUAUUUAAACUGGAAUGACCAUAGGAAAACUAAGGGGCCAUGAGGUCGGGGGACUUGCAAGGAAGUGGGCACAGACCUCAGGUGGUAUGAAAGGGAAUGGAGACUAAUAAGAAAGAAUGAGGGAGUGAGUGGGAAACAGAGUGGAGGAGGGAGUAUGAGGAGGGAUAACUAAUACUACAGACCUUUGUGAAGGCCAUAUGGAAACCUACUUCUGUAGAAGCUUCCUGAAAUAUAUACAAAUGAUUAUGUAAAAAGAUUUCAAAUCCAACUAUCCUAUAAUACAAGAAUAGUCCAACUAGACAUGAUACAUUGCCAAAUAAAAACUCCAGAACUGAGAAAUAGACCCUCUUUUUGAGCUGGUGGCCAGUUAUGUUGAUAAGCCCUCAAAUGUUACAGGCUACUGCUUAUACUUCCCAGAACUUCACAGUGAGACUCAUGAUGAAGACACCUAUACUUGAGUCAUGGAACACUGGGAACUCAUGCUAGGACCUACCUGGAAGCUCCAUCUGACUGGCCAUCUUUCAUAGUGCUGGAACUUGCCCUGUAUGCUACAGGGGUGGGCAGAAGCAAAAGUAAUUAGCAGUUCUUCCCAACUCUGAGUCCUCGGUUCUUUCCAAUUAGGAGCCCUCUGAGCUACACUGACUGGGCUGGUAAGACAUGCCCACUGGUGUAAGUGUGACACAAAUGUUAUAGGAGUAACCAACUACUUUAAGGCUUAUUCCACACUUAUGCCUGGCACCAUUAACAGGACCAAGAAUAUGUAGCUGGGUAGAUCAUAGGUCCUAGGGGGAAAACCUACUACUAUUAUUCUACUAGAUGGAUAUUGUAUUAAGCUAUCCCUAAGUAUUUAUCUUUAUACCCAUAAAUUAUACAUCUCUCAACCUUCAUCAGAGAGGCUUGCUUUUGUAGUUGAUGGCAAUUAACACAGAAAUCAUCAAUUAGUCAAACUGGAGAGAAUAACAGAUUCCAGAAUGCUCAGCUCUAAACAGGGCAGCUGCAUCAAACACAUGCUCUUCCCAAGGCUCAGGAAUCAUAGUAGAAGAGAGGCAGAAAGGUUAUGUGAGCUAUCAGUAGUGAAUGCCUAUUUCAAAAAGUGUUUUCUGGUCAUAACAGGGCAAUUUCACACAUGUACUCACAUUAGUUCUUACUGUACGCAUAAGACCUGUGCUAGAUCAAGUUAAAAAAAAUCCCAGUAUAUGUGAGGAAGGGGUCAUGAAGUCCUACUAUUGAGAGCGAUGCCUGCUGGAAAAGGAAAAGCCAGUGUUCAUAAGUGAUACUUCCUUGGGAGGCUUGCUAUGUUCCCGCACACAGUCCCCAUACUCAUUCACAUACUGGCAGCACUGUGGACUCAGUGGUGUGAAGACAAUGCUAAAUAUCAUCAGUCACGAGAAAGUGCAAAUCAAAAUGAUGAUAUGUAGCACUUCAUGUCUAGAUGACUACUUUUUUUUAUUCAAAAUAGAUUUUUUCAUACAAUAAACACUGAUUAUUGGUUUCCUCUCUUCCAACUCCUCCCAGAUCCUCCCCAUACUUCCCCAUCCACCAAAACACACACCCUUUCUCUCUCAAAACAAUAGUAAGAUAAAAUAAGAACAAACAAACCAGAAUAGGAGAAAAUACAUAGAGGUUGAGGGGUUAGGGAAGUCAGGAGAACCAAGAAAAAAACACAAGAAACACAUAUGGUUGAUGAAACACAUUCACACAAAAAGGAAAUCCCCCUAAAAUCAAAUAUAUAUGUGAAAGGUCUGUAAAGAAAAAACUCCAGAAAAGCACAAACAAACAAAACCCUCAAAAAAUAGCAUUGUGUCUUUUUCUGUUGGCUUUACUGCUAGGCAUGGGCCUGCCCUGAAGUAUGGUUCCUAUAUCCUGUGAGACUCCUCCCUUGGAGAAAACCAAUCUUUCCUUUGUGAGAGGAAUCGCCUGGAGAUAGCUUCUGGGUCAAGGAUAAAGGUGUGUCCACUUCCCUGCAGUGUGUCGUGUAGGUAGACCAUCAUCACUGUAGAUCACAGUGUGUAGCUGGGUUGGUAUUUGCCAUUCCC
Molecule: non-coding RNA, 12988 nt
Organism: Rattus norvegicus (Norway rat)
Lineage: Eukaryota; Metazoa; Chordata; Mammalia; Rodentia; Muridae
Source: RefSeq, a predicted model, not a curated record